RNAcentral lists this ribosomal RNA (254 nucleotides) under uncultured bacterium. RNAcentral describes it as "partial 16S ribosomal RNA". It matches the Rfam family "Bacterial small subunit ribosomal RNA", at positions 524 to 776 of the family's 1533-position model. The record is from RNAcentral.
UACGUAGGGUCCGAGCGUUGUCCGGAAUUACUGGGCGUAAAGAGCUCGUAGGUGGUUUGUCGCGUUGUUCGUGAAAACUCACAGCUCAACUGUGGGCGUGCGGGCGAUACGGGCAGACUAGAGUACUGCAGGGGAGACUGGAAUUCCUGGUGUAGCGGUGGAAUGCGCAGAUAUCAGGGGGGAACACCGGUGGCGAAGGCGGGUCUCUGGGCCGAUACUGACGCUGAGGAGCGAAAGCGUGGGGAGCGAACAGG